Molecule: long non-coding RNA, 1454 nt
Filed under: Polistes dominula (European paper wasp)
Lineage: Eukaryota; Metazoa; Arthropoda; Insecta; Hymenoptera; Vespidae
Description: uncharacterized LOC107074537, transcript variant X1
Source: RNAcentral
UUAUAUGUUUAAAAGAAAAAAUUGAAGAAGAAAUAUUAUUAUUAGGUUAUUUAAUUAAUAACUUUUGGAUGGAUUUUCGUCAUACAAGUUGAAUAAAAGCGUGGUAAUUCUAACAAAUAUGUUAAAUAUCUUUUAUUAUGUGAUUUAGGACAAAUAAAUAAUAAUUAUAUAUACCAGGUAACAGAACCUCAAUUAUACUCCUUAAUAUUAUAUGUAGUUUUAUUUUUAUUUAACACUCGACAAACGUUUAGCUUUAUGCAUUUUUUUUAUGUUUAAAUGUAUUUAAACUGCACAGAUUGCAGUAUGUAGUGUCACACAUGCUUUUUUAUGUACCAUUAGUCCCCCUUUUAUAUUUUAACCCCUUUGAAAGGGGUAAAGGGUAUCACCCCUUUACACAUAAAAAAGGGAUAGCUGUUAAAAAAGGGUGAUGCAGCUGGAAAAGUAUAGGCCUAUGUAUCUACAUGCAUUAUAUUUAAAUAAUUUGUUAUAUUACAUAUAGGUAAGUAUCUGAUGCAAUAGUCUAUAUUUUUAUAUUGCAUUUUGUGCUUUGCUGUAAUUAAAAAAUAUGUUAAUUAAGAUAAGAUCAUUAAUUGAUUGUUUAUUUUAGAUAACACUGCGUGGCAAUAUUUUUUCUUACUCGUAGUCAAAACUCAGCGAGCCACUCCCCUCAUCGGUGGGAUUUGGACACCGCUCAGGGCAUGCUCCGUAGUAUAGCCAAUCUUUACGCAGAGGAUACCGGUCUCUCUCUUAUACUCUUGGAGGACCUUCUUCUAGGGAUAGGGAGAUCAGUUCCCAUGAUUGGUCAGGGUAACGCAGUCUACCAACAGCUACGCUGCUGUUUGAAAGGGGUUGCUCAGUGCUCCGCUGUCUGUCGGUGACUUUGCAUCGCAGUGUAUCCUUUCAUCAAUCAGUCACCGCGCACUGUUGAAGUGAUUUUAGAUAAUAGGAGUUUAAUUGGAUUUAAGAUUAAAGAUUAAUUCUCCACCCCUUCGAUAUAAAAUGCUGCAGGGUAUCCCUUUUGUGGGUAAACCCUUUUUUAGGCACCCCUUUUGUAAGAUACCCCUUUUUGCGAGUAUCUUUUUUUUACUUUUGGAUACUACUUUUUGAGACAGUUUUUACCUGUUCUAUAUUGAACAAGAAAUAUUGUCAUUUUUUUUUUCAUAAAUGUCUAUACAAUGUAGAAUGAAUAAAUUCUCCUGGUUUAAAGGGGUGUGUGCUAGAGUUAAAAAACGUGAAUCAAGUUCAGCUUUAUUCUCAUUCGUUGCUAGAGGCUUUACAAGGGGUGGAGCUUACUUUCCCUUCCACUUUGCAUCCGAUAUGAGAAGAAACUAAAGGGUAGGCAGUCUUACGUUGAAGUUGUAUGAAAGAGGGUAGUUUGCUGAAAUGGCAGCAUCGUUAUUUUCAUUUAAAAUACACCUGUUAUUUAAUAGUAUACGAAAUAGUAUUUGAAAUAA